This 518-nucleotide ribosomal RNA is filed under the name Macrococcoides caseolyticum. RNAcentral describes it as "bacterial SSU rRNA". It matches the Rfam family "Bacterial small subunit ribosomal RNA", at positions 1 to 505 of the family's 1533-position model. The record is from RNAcentral. Lineage: Bacteria; Bacillati; Bacillota; Bacilli; Caryophanales; Staphylococcaceae.
UAGAGUUUGAUCCUGGCUCAGGAUGAACGCUGGCGGCGUGCCUAAUACAUGCAAGUCGAGCGAACGGACGAGAGUGCUUGCACUCUCUGAUGUUAGCGGCGGACGGGUGAGUAACACGUGGGUAACCUACCUAUAAGACUGGGAUAACUUCGGGAAACCGGAGCUAAUACCGGAUAAUAUUUAGCUUCGCAUGAAGCAAUAGUGAAAGACGGUUCUGCUGUCACUUAUAGAUGGACCCGCGGUGUAUUAGCUAGUUGGUGAGGUAACGGCUCACCAAGGCAACGAUACAUAGCCGACCUGAGAGGGUGAUCGGCCACACUGGGACUGAGACACGGCCCAGACUCCUACGGGAGGCAGCAGUAGGGAAUCUUCCGCAAUGGACGAAAGUCUGACGGAGCAACGCCGCGUGAGUGAAGAAGGUUUUCGGAUCGUAAAACUCUGUUGUAAGGGAAGAACAAGUACGUUAGUAACUGAACGUACCUUGACGGUACCUUACCAGAAAGCCACGGCUAACUAAC